Molecule: long non-coding RNA, 1742 nt
Organism: Marmota monax (woodchuck)
Lineage: Eukaryota; Metazoa; Chordata; Mammalia; Rodentia; Sciuridae
Exons: 3
Source: RefSeq, a predicted model, not a curated record
UGAAUAUGAAUGCUAAACCUUCAGAUUUCUCUCAUGCCUUCUGGCUCUGACCUCUAAACCUUCUUUUUAAAUGGCUCAUCAGCUUAAGUCAGGUCCAACCAUACAGGAGAACAGGAAUACACAGGGUGUGUACCCCAGAGGUGGAAAUCUGGAGGGGGGACCUCUUGAAGCCUCCGCGCCCUGUACUGCAUUUGGACUAGCACUAGCGGGUUGUAGACUGCUUCUCUGAUCUCAGGUAGGUUGAGCUCUACACUCCAUCAGUAAAAUUUCCUCCCUUUUCCUUUCCCUUUGUCUUUGCCUUUCUCUUUUCAUUUCCCUUUCCCUUUCCAGUCCUUCCUGUGCUGAGGAUUGAAGCUAGGUCCUCAGGCAUGCUAAGCACACUCUACAACUGAGCCAUGUCCUCAGGCCUCGGAUACACCUUCAAUUCAGUAAUAUAUGACACUAUCGAGUUAUGGAUCACGCACAUUUGUUGGAUUAUCUUUGCGUAGCUUCCUUGAUUUGGGAUCUAGUAAGAAGACUGAUUAACCUGUUUAAAGUUGAGAUUGUUUUCUUACUGACAUCGUCAUAGUCCAGCUCCACUGGAACAGCAGGCUGUGUUGUUGUAGCUGGAAAUGAUCAGCAUUUUUCAGUCUUAGUGAAAAUCUUGUCUUGUGCCACGGAUGUUUUCCCCGGUGGGAAAGAGGGCUCAUGCAUAGAAGCAGCUCUUGUGUGGAGGUAGCCCUGCCGUGGCCAAUGCCAGCUCUAGUUUUUUCCUCCCAGUGGUCUGUUGCUCCACCCUCUGAAGUCCCUGACAUGGUGUUAGAGCUGUCCUUCUAGAAGGAGAUCUUCCCCACACUUGCUUUGGAAGAUUGCCUUCUCUUAACACAUCAACUUUAUGGACCUGGUGCAGUUCUUCAUGACUUUUCUUCAGCAAACCAUCAGGUGGCCACCUCGAGGACCCUUUGUACCAUGAAAGCAGAAAUCUCUUCCUGGGUGAUGCUGGGAGCUGAUGGUCUUGAGUCAAGACUCAUCCACAUCUUGAUGGACCCACUCUGCCUGAUAUGAGCUGACGAGAUUGAAAAAGAGACCUAUUGACAAGAUCCAGCUUGACCCUCUUAAUAAGUUUCACUUGAAAUAUGUUAUUUGUACUUCAGUUGCUAAUGCAUUUUGUUCUCCUGAGUGCCGGAGACCAAGCGUUUUCUAUAACCUUAAUUAGCUUCUGUAAGCUGACUCUCCACCAGAAGCAUGGUCGUGGCCCUCCAGUCUUGAAGAACUGAAAAAAAGACAUUCAGUAUUUCUAAAGAAAACAGUAUUUCCAUUUCUAUAGUUCACCAGCAAAAAUAAAAUUCCCAUGUUUUUGUUCCUCCAAUAAAUAAAAUUAUUUAAAGUUACAAUGUAUCUAGACCAAGAAAAAAUUGGGGGUGGGGAUAAAAGAGUCCACUGUGCCUCCCCCAAAGUGGACAUUUUGUGAAGCUACAAUGAUCAUUAUGGCACUGGCACAAAAUCAGAUUAGCCAGUGGAAUACCAGGCAUAACUAAGGAAACAGAUAAAGUUUAAAAGUCUCCGAUUUGUGCUGGGCGUGGUGGGACAUAGCUAUAAUCCCAGAUAUUUGAGAGACUAAAAGCAGGAGGAUCGCAAGUUCAAGACCAGCCUUGGCAAAUAGACAAGACCCUUUCUCAAAAUCAAAAGGACUGAGGAUGUAGCUCAGCAGUAGAGAGCUUGAAGAGCAUGCAGGAGGCCCUGGUUUUGAUACCCAAACACAU